This 325-nucleotide unclassified non-coding RNA is filed under the name Hevea brasiliensis (rubber tree). Lineage: Eukaryota; Viridiplantae; Streptophyta; Magnoliopsida; Malpighiales; Euphorbiaceae. The record is from RNAcentral.
AAACUUCCUGUUGAACUUCUAACCCCCAUUAAAGGACCUGACAUGUUCACCAAUGCUGGAAGGAGCUGACCUGACCGUCCUGUAGUUACUGGAACCACAUUCAACUCUGGAGGCAUUGGACUUAAUGGGCCCGAGGCACUUCGCCCUGUCACACCUGCUGUUCGCCAACUCAGGCUUCCACUAGUAUUUCUGAGGGGACCAUCAAGGGAACCACGGACGAGUAAUGGUGACAUGUGUGGCUGGGUGUCCAUGACAGAUGCAAUUUGGGCUGCUGCAGGCCCCUGUGAGAAUUCCAACACAAAAUUUCCAUUUGCAUCACCCUUAG